Molecule: ribosomal RNA, 258 nt
Filed under: uncultured bacterium
Lineage: Bacteria
Description: partial small subunit ribosomal RNA
Rfam family: Bacterial small subunit ribosomal RNA
Source: RNAcentral
AGGACGAACGCUGGCGGCGUGCUUAACACAUGCAAGUCGAGCGACGCUCCUCCUUCGGGAGGAUGACGGAGCGGCGAACGGGUGAGUAACACGUGGGCAACCUGCCCCUAGCUCUGGGAUAAGCCCGGGAAACCGGGUCUAAUACCGGAUACGAGACUAAGAGGCAUCUCUUGGUCUGGAAAGUUUUUCGGCUAGGGAUGGGCCCGCGGCCUAUCAGCUUGUUGGUGGGGUAAUGGCCUACCAAGGCGACGACGGGUA